Gasterosteus aculeatus aculeatus (three-spined stickleback) is the source of this 688-nucleotide non-coding RNA. The record is from RefSeq and is a predicted model, not a curated record. NCBI's taxonomy places the organism in Eukaryota, Metazoa, Chordata, Actinopteri, Perciformes, Gasterosteidae.
GCGUGACGGCCACGUCGUACUCGGUUUGGGAGAUGAGGCUGGACAGGUCCAGCGUGGUGACGUCGCCGUCGACUUCCAUCUGCAGGGACAAGACGUCUUCAGCGGUAAUCCGUAAGAGCAGUCGUGGAUUCAUCCAUCACAGCAUCCUGGAAACGUCUUCCUGGGAAGGGGGGGGGGUGGGCUCCUCCGGCUGCCAAUUCAUCCCAGACUGUUUGUCCUUCGCUGACAUCCGAGUGAGGGGGGGAGUGGGGUUCUCUCUGCCAGCAGACGGCUUUUAUCACAGAGGUCUGGCUGCUGCUGUGACUUCCUGGUCUCCCUCCCAGAGCCAAGGUCAGCUCAGCUACAGCGCCCAACCCCAAAAAAACCAAACGUCCAAACGGUUGGCUUGUUGGAGCCAUAUUUUCUGUUUUGUUACAAAUCAUUUAUUUGUUUUGUUGGUGGGAAUUAUGCGUAUUCUCUUAAUGUAUUUUUUGUUCAUAUUUGAAAUAACUUUCUUUAUGAUGCAUUAGAUGCACCUGAUGAGGAUCAGCGCAUAAGAGGAGGGGGUGGGACUGAGGCACCGGGGCUGGCUUUUGUAUUGGACGGGACAUCGGCACAGUCUUUCGACCUUACGUUGUCCACUCUGUUAAUUAUGUUCAAAUGAAACGACCAAAUGUAAAACUUAAAAAAUAAACAACGUGAAAUGGAA